Patella vulgata (common limpet) is the source of this 7747-nucleotide RNA transcript. RefSeq lists it as uncharacterized. The transcript has 7 exons. NCBI's taxonomy places the organism in Eukaryota, Metazoa, Mollusca, Gastropoda, Patellidae. The record is from RefSeq and is a predicted model, not a curated record.
UUGAUAUACCUGUAUAUACAGGUAUGUUGUUGUUGAAAUACCUGUAUAUACAGGUAUGUUGUUGUUGAUAUACCUUUAUAUACAGGUAUGUUGUUGUUGAUAUACCUCUAUCUAUAUAAGUCGUUUAAAAUCUAAAAUAUUUGGACAAUCUGGUUGGUAUUAAAAAUGGGUUCCUGCGUACAAACUGGGUGAUUUAAUGGUAUAUAUGGACUAAAAACAUAUUCAAACUAAUUAACAUGUCAUAAUUAUGCUUCAAAUCCUUCUCAAACAUUGUAAUUGCGAAGGAAUGCCCUGCUAUUAAAAUUCGAUCAAACCAGGUCAUGUUUCCGUCACGUCUUGGGAGUUAGAGGAGAAAUCAUUGCAUACAUCGCUUACUAUUUAUUACAAAUAUCGAAUCCUAAUUAAAUUCUCAGAUUAUCCACUACCCGCGUCUUUUUCCGUCAUUUUUAUCUCAGAAAGUGUUGUACAUCUAACUCUUCAUAAAGUUUAUCAACUUGUACAUCAAGCGCUCAAUGUUCACGUGUGACCGUUGACAUCAUGCGUGCAGAACUUCCUAAUCGUCGGGCUGUUGAUUAGGGGAACCCUUACAUUUUUGUCCUGUAUACGCUCCAGGAGGGUUUUUUGGGGAAUCCAGUAUUUUUCUAGUAAUAUUGGAUAUCUCUACUUUCCAUAUAUACCAAAAUUGCCAUACUUUUAUUGGAAACAACCACCCGACAAAUACUUUUCUGGGAACCCAUCUCUAAGUUUGCUCCAUUAAACUGGAUAGGCUUUAUGGAAAUGAGGUCAGGGAAGCAGCCAAAUGUUUAGUGAAUCUUGUUGAAUCAGUUUUUGUUAAACAGGUUGCUUCUAAAACCUUCUCCAAAUUGGCUGCACACGCACUAUGUGCAGUUCCAUGCAAGCUUAGCAGGUGUGAUCUAUGAGGAUCCGCACAAUAAUUGUUAUGAGUUUGAAAUCUUGGAAAGUAGGGUUGGGUCCCGAACAAAUUUUACAAUGCAUGAGGUUGGACAGGCGACCAUACUCCUUGUCACGUACAAGCAGGGAAUCGAAACCACGCCCCUUUACCCAAUGACAGACCUUAUGAUGUAACGCGCACACGUUAACCACUCGGCUACCGGACCCCCUAUGUAAAAUGGAAUAUAAAAUAGAAAUUUCUAUUAUUUAAUAGGAGAAAAAGUAGAUAAGAGGGCGAAGUCAAUUAUCCGACCAAUUAAGUCUACUGCCCAGAGCAGACCUGAUCCUGAAUCUGAACGAGGAAGUUGUAAUGCUUCUUCAUGUUUUAAUCCAAUUAUUGACAGAGGAUACAGAGAUUUAGGAAAACCAGAAGAUGAUGAAGAUUAUCCUGCUUCCAACGCUGAACAAGAUAUUUUUUGUUUCGACAAAUUUGGUGGCAGUGAAACAGCGAGGACAGACACAGCAGGAUCUUCAAAUGUUGAAGUCGAAGAUAGCUGUACAUUUAAAGCCCAACCAAGCUCUUCAUCUGAAGCCAUUCCAGGCACAUCAUCUGAAGUCAUUCCAGGCUCAUCAUCUGAAGUCAUUCCAGGCUCAUCAUCUGAAACCAUUCCAGGCACAUCAUCUGAAACCAUUCCAGGCACAUCAUCUGUAGUUAUCCCAAGUCGUUCAUUUACUAAAUCUAAAUACCAGUCCAAUCAACAUAAAGCUAAGCAUAAACUAUUCGCUGUACAAAAAUGUGAAAUAGGAAAAGAACGCUUUCAACGACUGGUGAAAAAAGAACUCUUUCAAAAUAAGGAAAUUAAAGAGAAACUAAAAAAAGAAAUUAAAAGAAGCAUGAAUAGUGAAGAUGGGAAGAAUCGAGUUUCUGCACCAAAUAUUCCUAAUUUGAAUAUUAUAAUACAAAGUAGAUCUGAAGAUAAAACUGUACCAAAAUAUGAAACGGGAAAAGAACACUUUCAACGACUAUUAUAUAAAAAAGAAAUUAAAGAGAAACUAAAAGAGAAAAUUAAAGGAAGAAUGAAAAGUGAAGAAGAAUAUAAUCGUGUUUCUGCACCAAAUAUUCCUAAUUUUGAGCAUUUAAUACCAUGGCAUUCCCCGUAGCCAAGGCAACAUGACUGGUCUGGAACACAAGAGAGAAAAGUUCCUUUUAUGGAGAAAGACAUAAUUUGUGUUUCCCUCUCAAACUUUUAUACAGAAGCCAUCUUAUUCCUAUGUACUAACGUGAAAACCUUAUUAUAUCUUGUCACAUUUCUAAACAAACAUAAUCAAAUUUUUAAUGUUGCUUUUGUUUAUAUUAGCGUGUAGAAACCUACAGUUGUCAACAGUACCGGAUUUAGGGCCCGGGGCGCAACGUGGCACACAAAUGUUCCAGCCCCCCCCCGCCCUCAUUUUGGGUUGAGUACAAGAUCAAAAGUUCCAUUACACCAGAAUGCAAGGAGUCAAAUCUAAUUGUCGAUAUUUUUUGGAGAGCGGUAGAGGGCCACCCCCUCAUCUUGGGCUACGCACCACAAUGGACCUACGCUUCUUUCUUAAUCUGGCCGUGGCCUGGUCAACACUCAGCAGAGUAACAACAAACUAUCUGUCAUUAAUAACACUAACACAAUAUGUAACCACAAGACAAAUUAUUAUAUCUCAAGUAUUUAUAAAGAAUUGGUACCUAAAAAUGUUUCUUUAAUAAGUCAACUGGCGUGGUUUCGAAUCCCAGGUUCUACGUGACAAGGAGUAGGGUCGUCUGUCCAGCCUCGUGGGUUUUGUCCAGGUGCUCCGGUUUCCGCCCACUGCUAAAGACCACUUACGCGCAAGCGAAUUAUUGAAAAAAAUAAACCAUAUGUUAGUCCCAAAAUGACCUAGUUUGUGUCGAGUGAACGUUAAAUCUCAUUUCUCUCCCUGACUCUUUCUAUUUAAAUAUCCAUUUAAAUAUCUAUUAACCUAUUCUGUAUAAAUAUCUAUUAACCUAUUCUGUAUAAAUAUCUAUUAACCUCUUCUAUAUAAAUAUCUAUUAACCUCUUCUGUAUAAAUAUCUAUUAACCUCUUCUGUAUAAAUAUCCAUUAACCUAUUCUAUAUAAAUUUUUAUUUUAAUCAAAAUCCAAAGUCUAUACUUACACAUAUUUGUUUAUUUUUCAUAAUUAUAUUUUUUGAUGUCCAAUAGACAUUUUAUAAAUUAACAUCAGACAGCUUCCUACUAAUUAUAUUGACAAUAAUGAAAAAUGACAUAUUUUUAAAAAUUGUAAAUAUUUGAAUUAUUUUGGACGUAUACAAAUAUUAUCAACAUUUAGAUAUUGCUCAUAUAUAUAUAUAUAUAUAUAUUUAUAUAUAUAUAUAUUUAUACAGGACCAAUGUCUAGUUCCAAAAAAAUAUACUGGACCUAUGUCUGUUUCAGGACGAAUGUCUAGUCAGUUCAUAUAAGUAUAUUGGACCAAUGUCUUGUUCAUAAAAAUAUAAUGGACCAAUGUCUAGUUCAUUUAGAUAUACAAGACCAAUGUCUAGUGUUCAUUUAGAUAUACAAGACCAAUGUCUACAAUCUGUUUCACAGAGAAUUACGAGUCUCGUAUAAUAUCUCUGUCAUAGAUGACUGCCUUAACACGUGCUGUCACAGCACGCGGUGUGAAUCAUUGGCUGAAUGGUGCGUGCAUUGUUUACAUAAGACAUAACUGCUUCGGAGAGAAUGCUGCAUUUUAGUCAAUUUAAUACCCAUUUACACUAAAUCGGAAAUAAUUUUUACCUACAAAUACGUCAAACGCCUUUAUUUAUUUUUCCAAUAUAUACAAAAAAUGUUUUAGAAUUUAAUUUGUCGCAGGAAAAAAGUUAAUAUUUCUAGCUCAUUAAGCCGCAUCAAUGUCAUCCUUAUCAGUGAUUGUCGCGGCCAAGCAAAUAUUCACUGCGGAUCAGUGUGCAAUGUCUAGUGUUUAUUAAGAUAUACAGGACCAAUGUCUAGUGUUUAUUUAGAUACAUAGUAUCUGAGUAUAAUUCAAAAAAGUUUGGGGAGAUAACUCUAACUAUUUUGGAAACCACUGCUUUAUUUUAUGGACUAAGACUAGUAAUUAUUUCCCCUUAUUUCAUGAUGGACGAAUGUAGUGCGAGUUAUAAAUAGACAAUUUUUCCCUUAAUUUUUUUCUCCCCUCUUCCUGCAUUUUUGGGUUGACUUUUUGGUCUAGAAUCGGAGAAAAGGGAUCAAAUUUGCAAUUUCAUAGCAGUUUUGGGUAAUACUGAUGAUAUUACAGCGGAGGCAUAGGGAGUGUAAAGUGUCUUUCUGCAGAGCAAUCAUUGUGUCGGAAGUGAGAUUUUCACCCCUGUCAACUUCAAAUCUGUGUAGUGAAAAAUCUAAAUGGUCAACCCCCUACAAAAUUAUGAUGAGGAGAUUGCCAAAUGUUGUCCCCAUUGUGCCUAUAAAGAUUGGAACCAACAGAAUGUUGAGCAAAAAGCUACAGCCUGUGAUUUUACAGUCAUUUAACAUUGAAGUCAAUGGGCAAAUAAUUGCUAGUCUGAUUCCUGAUGAUAUAAUGAAGCUUGGCCGACUCGGGAUGUUGAUAAUUUUUCAACGGCUUGUUUCCUGAAGUUUUGAAUGGAAAUGGUAAGAAUACUGCUUUUUUAUUGCCCAGCAGUAAGUUUUUUGACUAUUUGGUAUCAAAAUAGCCAUGAUUGGGGGUAUCCGUUGGUUGAGUGUGAAUUUUGGGUUGUAAAUGUGUAACAUUUUGUUCACAAUGAUAUCAAAACAUGGUUAGGUCUAAAUAUUAAGGCCAACUCAACUGCAGAUUUGGUCUAAAGUCACGAGAUGUAAACAAGACUGACCCUUACCCUAACCCAAGACCCAGUCCUUACCCUAACCCACAAUCUUGUCAAAAAGCAUGUAGCCUAGGCCUAAGCCAAGACCUAGUCCUGACCCUAGCCCAAACCCACAAUUGUGUCAAAAAAUCAUGUGCCCUAACCCUAUUUACAUGUUGUGACCUUGAACCAAGUCUGCAGCUGGCCUUAACAUUUAGACCUAACAUGUUUUUGACAUCAUACAAUGAAAUGUUAACAUGUACACUCCAAAAUUCACACCUGUGUGACUUUUGAUCAAACAUGCAGUUGGCCUUAAUAUUUAGACCGAACCUCAAAACAUGGCAUCUACCUUUGAGAUUGGCUUAGACUUAUGUGACACUCAUGGUGUACUUUUUUACUGACUGUUAACUGGUUUCUUUUUGGAGGGCCAGUGACGGGCUGUUCGCUAGAAAUAAAGAGGUUUAUUUCUAUUUCCAGUUGAAACCAUAUUUUUUUCUUAUUUUCUCACUGUUUUUUAUUGCAUAUUUAUCCCCAGCCUCCUAUCAUUUCAGGUGCCCGGGUAAUGUUUCAUAGAGUGGAAUGAUUGACCUCAACACAAGUAUUAAAAAAAAAAGAAGCAAAACAGGUCUACAUCUCAAAACCUGAUCUCUUCCUGGACUGGCUUUAGGAGAACGAUGAUGCAUAUCAAUUUCAUCCCUGAUCUCUAUGACACCUGUGGUGGAAGUGGAGGGCAAAUCGUAAUCAGUUUGGGUUCAAGCCCCGAGGACCUUUGUAAACUUUGCUUUUUGGUGAUGACUUAAUUUCCGAGCUUGAAAAGGACGCUUGUGUGUUUAUCAUGGCCUCUCAUAUUGGAAGAUAACAUUAAUGGCUUGUGUGUUGAUCGACGGUUGUGCAUAUCUCUUGGUCAGGAAAGUUGUAGGCACCAUCGCCAUUGUAAAUCAUUUGACAGGCCAGAGUGAACGGGGCGACCUAUGAUUGGUCAGCAAUGUAUCAGAUUCCAUACCGGGGGGUGGGGAUGAAAAAACUGUUGUAGUGUUACAUAAUCAGAUUAUUUCAACUUACUUAUCCUGUGGAAAUACAGCUAUAUAGGAGAUAUUUUGAAAUUCAUAGGCACUGCAUGUUUCAACAUUUUAGAUUUGACCACAAUUUGGCACUUGAAACUAUGUUAACAGAGAAAAACUGUGUGGUUUUCGAUGAAAGUGUUAAAAGUCUAAUAUUGCAUCAUGAUUACUGUUUUAAAGUAUUUUCGCGUUUGAUUUAUAUUGAAUUCAUCUCAUCUUUUUGAAGAAUGCAUUUAUGUUCAAAAAUAAAAAUGUUCUGUGGAAUUCAAAAUUGAUGUGCUUUUAAAUUAUCAGAUUCCAAACUGGGGGGUGGGGAUGAAAAAGCUGUUGUAGUGUUACAUAAUCAGAUUAUUUCAACUUACUUAUCCUAUGGAAAUACAGCUAUAUAGGAGAUAUUUUAAAAUUGAUAGGCACUGCAUGUUUCAACAUUUUAGAUUUGACCACAAUUUGGCACUUGAAACUACGUUAACAGAGAAAAACUGUGUGGUUUUCGAUGAAAGUGUUAAAAAGUCUAAUAUUGCAUCAUGAUUACUGUUUUAAAGUAUUUUCGUGUUAGAUUUAUAUUGAAUUUAUCUCAUCUUUUUACAGAAUGCAUUUAUGUUCAAAAAUAAAAAUGUUCUGUUUAAUUCAAAAUUCAUGUGCUUUUAAAUUUCUGUCUGAAAUUCCGCAGUUUUCUGAUGUAUUAUAGUGUUUGCAGAAUGCCGCACAGCUCAUCUGAAAAUGCAUAGAUUUUCAUAUUCUUUGGCCAGGGAAUUGCAUAUAUGUUUGUUCAUUAGAUAACAACAGAUUUGUUUAAACUGCAGAAACAUGUGAGGUAUAUAGGACUAAGACUAGUAAUUAUUUCCCCUUAUUUCAUGAUGGACGAAUGUAGUGCGAGUUAUAAAUAGACAAUUUUUCCCUUAAUUUUUUUCUCCCCUCUUCCUGCAUUUUUGGGUUGACUUUUUGGUCUAGAAUUGGAGAAAAGGGAUCAAAUUUGCAAUUUCAUAGCAGUUUUGGGUAAUACUGAUGAUAUUACAGCGGAGGGAUAGAGGGUGUAAAGUGUCUUUCUGCAGAGCAAUCAUUGUGUCGGAAGUGAGAUUUUCACCCCUGUCAACUUCAAAUCUGUGUAGUGAAAAAUCUAAAUGGUCAACCCCCUACAAAAUUAUGAUGAGGAGAUUGCCAAAUGUUGUCCCCAUUGUGCCUAUAAAGAUUGGAACCAACAGAAUGUUGAGCAAAAAGCUACAGCCUGUGAUGUUACAGUCAUUUAACAUUGAAGUCAAUGGGCAAAUAAUUGCUAGUCUGAUUCCUGAUGCUAUUUUGACCAUGUCAACAAUUUCACGUGAUACUACUAGAUUGUGAUGUAGAUUUUUAUAUUUUGUUAUAUUUCUUCAAUUUGAGAGAUUAAAGCACUUGAAGAAGAGUCCAGACUUGUUAAAUUUUUCCAAAGAAAUAAAAUUGAUUUUUUUACGUCGUACUGUUUUGCACCAACCAGGUUAAUGAAGACCCAGAGGUCUGGACAAAAUUUCUGUCAUCAUACAAAGCACACGACAGAUAUUUUACCCAGGUCUGGACAGGUACUAAGAGCAAAUGAAUUACUGAAAUAAAAUUGAACCAUAUGUUAGUCUCAAAAUGUCCUCUUUGAUUGGCAUUUAGUAAUUGAACAUAUUUAUACAAGGUACAAUUACAUUUACAUUUGCUCGAUAAAGACGACAGUAUCCUCGUCGAAAUGUCACUUAGUAUUAAACUCAUUAAUUGUGUAUCCGUAAACAUUGUACCUUGUAUUGACCUGAUAUGUUGAGUGUUUGUCGCCAUCUUUCCCUGCACAUUAAAUCCUCUUUUCCAGGUUACCCAAAUUGUUUUAUGAGACCUUCUUGUGUAACGAGGGGUCUCCAAUCUUUAUAUUGUCUAGGACAGGUAUGAAAGGGGGCAAUAAGCCAUGCAAGCAAAUUGAGCAUGUAACAAUCUAAUUAAUUUAUCAAAAACAAUGUAAAUU